RNAcentral lists this ribosomal RNA (253 nucleotides) under uncultured bacterium. RNAcentral describes it as "partial 16S ribosomal RNA". It matches the Rfam family "Bacterial small subunit ribosomal RNA", at positions 524 to 776 of the family's 1533-position model. The record is from RNAcentral.
UACAGAGGUCUCAAGCGUUGUUCGGAUUCAUUGGGCGUAAAGGGUGCGUAGGCGGCGCGGUAAGUCGGGUGUGAAAUCUCGGAGCUCAACUCAGAAACUGCCUUGGAUACUAUUUAUCUUGAAUAUCGUUGAGGUAGGCGGAAUAUGUCAUGUAGCGGUGAAAUGCUUAGAUAUGACAUAGAACACCGAUUGCGAAGGCAGCUUGCUAAACGAUUAUUGACGCUGAGGCACGAAAGCGUGGGGAUCAAACAGG